Molecule: long non-coding RNA, 1361 nt
Organism: Ochotona princeps (American pika)
Lineage: Eukaryota; Metazoa; Chordata; Mammalia; Lagomorpha; Ochotonidae
Exons: 2
Source: RefSeq, a predicted model, not a curated record
CCUGGAUACUUUGAAAGGAAAGCGGCUGCUUUCAUAGUAAUGAGACUGAGACCAAAGGCAUAAACCAGGAAUGUGCAGGGCUGGCUGAGAAGCUUGGGGCACGGGCUUCCUUCCCUGUCCCCAGCUGCUCUCCUAUGGUUGCUUGGUAGCCUAACUUCUUUGGGUCACUCUGCUCUCAGAGCUAACCACUGGCUGCCUCUGCCACUGUGGAAACAAAACAAGCAGGUGCUGGGCGGUGGCAGAGAGUGAACCUCCAAAUCAUCACGUGAACUGGAGACGACAAGAGGACCCUUUAUCAUGGACUAUGCUGCUAAGAUGGUCAUAGGUCAGGGGACAUGAAUCACAUAUUCAAAAUAUGAUGUUUCUCUCCUACAAUGAGUUUAUUGGUAUGAAACUCCAUUGUAAGUUGAGGUAUGCCUGUACUCAAAAAAUGGGUGUGAUCCUGUGCGGCGGGAUGGGAAUCAGAACAAAACGUGUUUAUUACAAAGAUGCAAGAUGAAGACCAUGGAGGCAGCCAGCCUGCAGGCCACGCUUCUGAUCUGAUGACACUGAAGGAAGCUUAUGACCAGCAUUAGACUUGAGGGGAAAGACGACACGUGGUGCUGGGCACUGGCAAGAUGGAUUUCCAGGAAGCAGCAGAUUUUUAUUAGGAAAUAGAUUGGGGUAUGGACCGAGACCUGGAAGGUAUCCCUCAGCACAGAGUCCAAUCUCAGUAAACCUGUCCUGAUUUGGUGUUCUGGACCUCCCAAGGCUGGGUAGGAACCCCCCAACGUGAGCAUGGCAGCCCCAGACUUGGGCAAUGACUGUGGGAGGGCCCCACGCAGACUGUCAGGGGCAACACAGAACAUCCUUUGUCUGAUUACCAUCAACCAGACAACGGGAGGGUGCAUUCAGCUCAAAGUAACCGAGGUGUGUGGGGCCUGUGAGAAGCCAGCACGCAGGGCCGGCAGCAGCUUGCCUUGCACCUUGAAGGGCUGGGAGGCACAAGAACCUGCCUUUUCCAAACCCUGAAGCAAUCCUUCUCCUCCCUUCACAUCUAUUUCUCUAUGUGUGUUUUUUAAAACUCUGUUGAUAGCUAUUAUAUAAUCACAUUGUUGAAAUAUUUGAGAUGGUGAUUACACCACCAUUUGACUUUAAUUGCUACUUCUGUUAGCAUGUUAGAUGUUCUCAGGCCAAAUUAAUUAGGAUUAAACAGUCGACUACUGAUCUGUAACAAUCAAACUUUUAGAAACUCAACCGUGUCACAAUCUAACAUCCCAAUUUUGCUGUGAAUUUGGACAGAGAACCUAUAAGGUCUGAGAUGAUCUUCCCAAAGAUCACAUGUUAGUCCUGUCAACACUAAAUUUAAAGCAAAAAAUACA